RNAcentral lists this transfer RNA (82 nucleotides) under Cryptomonas paramaecium. RNAcentral's name for it is "Cryptomonas paramecium tRNA-Ala". It matches the Rfam family "tRNA". Rfam says of the family: Transfer RNA (tRNA) molecules are approximately 80 nucleotides in length. Lineage: Eukaryota; Cryptophyceae; Cryptomonadales; Cryptomonadaceae. The record is from RNAcentral.
GGGGAUGUGAUGUAGUGGUUAGCAUGUUUGUUUUGCAAGCAAAAAGUCACGAGUUCGAUACUGUAAAUUCUCGUUAUCUCCA